UGGGGAAUUUUGCACAAUGGGGGAAACCCUGAUGCAGCGACGCCGCGUGAUUUAGAAGGCCUUCGGGUUGUAAAAAUCUUUUUUAUGGGAUGAAAAUGACAGUACCAUAAGAAUAAGGUCCGGCUAAAUACGUGCCAGCAGCCGCGGUAAUACGUAUGGACCGAGCGUUGUCCGGAAUAAUUGGGCGUAAAGGGUACGUAGGCGGCCCAGUAAGUUAGAAGUGAAAUAAUAUAGCUCAACUAUAUAAAGCUUUUAAAACUGCUAGGCUUGAGAGAUGGAAGGGAAAGUGGAAUUCCUAGUGUAGCGGUGAAAUGCGCAGAUAUUAGGAAGAAUACCGGUGGCGAAGGCGACUUUCUGGUCAUCAUCUGACGCUGAGGUACGAAAGCGUGGGUAGCAAACAGG
This 402-nucleotide ribosomal RNA is filed under the name Verrucomicrobiota bacterium. Its description in RNAcentral is "Verrucomicrobia bacterium partial 16S ribosomal RNA". It matches the Rfam family "Bacterial small subunit ribosomal RNA", at positions 355 to 776 of the family's 1533-position model. Lineage: Bacteria; Pseudomonadati; Verrucomicrobiota. The record is from RNAcentral.